CUGUUUCUGCUACUGCGCUCAGAAACUCACCAGUGUGCACAAAUCAGUUAUGGCUCUGCUUGCUUCCUCAUGUUGAACUCUAGCAAAAGCCUUGCAAUGCAGAAGCUAUAAAAUAUUUUAAUUUCAUGCCUUAUUUUCAAUAAACUAAAAAACAGGAGUGUUAAUCUGUGUCUUUUCAGUUUAUUACUGAAAGUGAAGUUGCUGGCUUUGAAAAAAUUGUGGAGAAUCCAGUCAGUUGUGUGUGAUGGAAGGAGAGAGGAAGAGAUCUCUGAUACUACCCUUGUUUUCCUUCAGUUUGUCUCUCUUGGAAAGGAAUCCUUGCAGAAAGGUAGUGGCAGUUUCAGAGAUUUCCAUGUCUUCCCUCAUUUGCCCUGUUCAUAAAGAAAAGAACUGGAGCAGCCACUGGAAUAGAAAUGGGCACGACAAAUGGUCUGAGAUCUGGAUUUGUGUUUCUGCUGCAGAAGUGAUGGUUAUGCUGGAAGGAGCUACAGAGGCAUUCCCAGAGACGUGACAAAUAUCUGUAGCAAACAUGAAAUUGGACUGUUUUGGGCACCUCAGCAUGAGAUUGCACUUUAGAAGCAAUAGUUCCUGCAAAGUUACUAGGGAAGCAUCUGUACAAGGCAUGACCAGUUUCUUCUCCCUUUCUUGCAAAGACAGCACUGAAAGCACUAGAAUUUUUUGGCUUUGAAUUCAAAGAGAAUUUUUUAAAUAUGAAGUCAUGUCAAUAAAUGAAGUAUCCAGAUCUAUUUUCA
RNAcentral lists this long non-coding RNA (752 nucleotides) under Cyanistes caeruleus (blue tit). RNAcentral's name for it is "lncRNA (ENSCCEG00000022273.1)". The record is from RNAcentral. Lineage: Eukaryota; Metazoa; Chordata; Aves; Passeriformes; Paridae.